Molecule: long non-coding RNA, 902 nt
Organism: Cicer arietinum (chickpea)
Lineage: Eukaryota; Viridiplantae; Streptophyta; Magnoliopsida; Fabales; Fabaceae
Source: RefSeq, a predicted model, not a curated record
CUAAAAAUAUUUUACUCUGCCAUUUUCAUUUGGAAAUGAUUUUCCCUUUCUUCUCAUUUCUCUCAUGUUACAAUAAACCGACAUCCCUUACUUCCCCGUAAAAUCAUUUUCCCAUCUGAAAUCGCUUUGGUUCAUUAACAAAUCAAUUGAUCACUUUCCUCUUCAUUUUCCCUUCAUUAGUCAUUUUCCUCAGCUAGUAACAAUUCGAUUUCAUUCGACUUUCCUCUUUGAUUCAUAUUCUUCUUCAAUCUUUUUGUUCAAUCGGAUAUGUCUCAUAACAAUUAAGGAGAUUUAGUUUAUCCCUUCUUCUCUCGCGUAGCAAUUCGAUAUUUUGCGAUUCAAUUUAGCUUUUCUUCUCUCAAAUCGCAAAAUCGCUCAUCUUCUCUCAAAUCGUUCUUCUUCUCCUUCCGAUUCAAUUUUGUUCAUUCAAUUUCGUUUGUCGUCUCACAAUAUCGUAAAAUUAAUUUGUUUGUUAUGGAGACAUUUUCGUUUUUAGUUGCAUAUGUGGUUGAAGAUGUGCUUCGACAACACGGUACCUGCCUCAAAGAUCUUGAUUUGGAAUCUAGAAAAGCAUAAGAAGCUGCAUUUAGAAGAUAUGAAGUAGUAGGGUGGUUGAGAAAAAUGGUUGGAGUUGUUGCACUUAAAGAUUUACCAGCAAAGCCUUAUGAGGAAGAGUUUAGACUUGGUUUGUGGAGUGGGAUCAUUAUUUGUAAUGUUCUUAACAAGGUUCAGCCUAGUGUUGUAUCCAAGGUCAAUUUGAAUGCUCCUGAUAUUAUUUACUCUAUGUUUUUGGUUAUUGUUUGUUUACAAAUGUAAAUUAUCUAUUACGAACAUGAUCAAAAUCUGGGUGCAUUCCUCGUAGAACCAACACCAUAUAUAGAUUAUCAAGUUUUGUCUUCAUA